AAAUAAUCGAAGACUGGAAAGCAAGAAAAUCCUGCUAUUGGAUAGUAAUAUUAAAUCAGAAUAUACCACAGGAACAAUAUUCCAAUCGAGUUGUUGCUUUGAAUCAACAGACUCGUACCUUGUUGUCUAGUUUAGGAGCAUGGCAACAUAUAAAGGCAGUACGAUAUUGUCCAGUACGAUCGAUCCAGGUAUGGGACGCAAUCGGACGCUAUGAUAACGUUCAAGGAGGAUCUUGUCUGAGGAAUACAAUUGGCAUACAUAGUUGAAAAUGAUCUAGUGUUGCAUGCUGUCAACAUGCAACUUUCUCAGACAACUUUCUCAGAAAGAGAAUGUGACUGUGAUUCACGAAUCUAAGAUCACCGAUGUAAAACUCCUCAAGAAAUUAACCGAAUUUACCUCUAUAAAGAUGGAAUCAGAUAAACGGUACACAGCUGGAUUACUGGUGCAUGUCGUUAGUAAUUCAACUAUGCGAAAAAAGAUGUAUAUGUCCUAUCUAAACUGGCAGCACGAUUUUUGCAAUUCUCAAACUCUCCAAGGUAAUAUUAUCUUUAAAAGUUGCUCGUUGAUAUUUGAAUUUCUUGAGAAAUUGUAAUAUUCCUCAAUCAAUUUCAGUCUACGGAGAACAUCGCCACUUGGCAGAGGUUUCUUCUAAUCGGACUUAUUAUCACGUUGCUUGAGCAAGCCAUGUCAUAAAUUGUGUUGGCGAUUCGCUGAGAAAUUAUUGACCAAAAAAUCGAAGAAUCUUAUGGUAAAUUGAAUUAUGUAUAUUAUAACAAGAUACAAAAAUGUAUAGUAAAAUCAAAAAAGAAACCUGUCAUCCUCUCUAAGAAACAACUGCUAUUAAUU
This 846-nucleotide unclassified non-coding RNA is filed under the name Camponotus floridanus (Florida carpenter ant). RNAcentral describes it as "uncharacterized LOC112637748, transcript variant X4". Lineage: Eukaryota; Metazoa; Arthropoda; Insecta; Hymenoptera; Formicidae. The record is from RNAcentral.